UAAUAUUAUAUUGGGAAAAAAAAAUAUCAGGUGGUUUUUGGUUGUUGACCGGGAAAUGUUGUAGUGCCGCGGCGCCCCGUUGAAGUAGUAGGGAAUAUCCAAUGGAAUAUAUGCAAAAAAUUGAGUACAACAAUUUUCCGUUAGCUAAUUGUGAGUGCCACAUAACAAUAAUAAUUAAAAAAACAGAGCUCCCCCUGACAAGUGUUCUUUUCGUCCUUCAAUGCUCGCAGUAGCGACACGCAUGGCACUCUCUGUUCAUAUUUGCCUUUUCCCUAUUACUAUUUUGAAAUUUUUUAAUCUCUCUUUCCUCGUCAUAAUCUACUCAUUUAUUCGUGUUAUCAUUCGUUUCUCACUUUUUGGCGUGAACCGUUCGCCGCAUCCCUAUCCAUGUUUCCACAAAAAGGUUAGUGUUGGCAUUUAAUCACAACCGCACUAGUGUUGCUUUUUUCUUCUUCUUCCUCUUUACUCAUAUGUCAAAUCUCUGCUCUCACUUUAAGAACGAGCUGUGAAUUAAAGUAACCAAAUAAACCUUACUACUGUACCCUGUAAAAACUUUGAUUAAAUCCAAAUUUCAGAGCUUUAAUUUUCUUGAUAAAGAUAAACCCCACAAGUAAGGAUGGAGCUAGAGGGGCAGGAUUCAUCCAAAAUCUUUUUUUUUUUUUUUUUUUAUAUAGUUGAUGAUGAACUUUUUUUUCGGCGAAAAUUCUGACUCCAUUAGGUCACUGUCUACGAGAUAGAAAAAAAAGGAAAAAGACACUUCUCUGCCGUCAAAUUUGUAAAGGGGGUCACAUCAAAAAUAAAAUUAUUGGGUUCACCAUAGAUUUAUAGAUUGCUCAUAAAUUAAAUACCCAAUUCACGUUAGUUUCAGCUUUGACUACCAGAACAAAAGAGUGAAAAAAGGUGAAGACCUCGAUUAUAUAUAUAUAUAUCAUCAUCUUGAGUAAUUAUACAGAACAAGAUGGUGUUUGUUAAUUAGCUAGCAUAGCAAAUCAUAAACUCUGAAACUGAUUAUGCCAAGAAGAACUCAUGAUCUACUAUUUCUCAACUUUCUGUGUUUUACAUAUUCCUAAAAAUUACAAAAAGAACCUCAGGCUUACAGCAAAAAAAUUCAAGUAAAUACACUGAGUUAAUCACACAGCUGAAUCAGUAGGAACUCCGAUGUGAGACGGUUUGUGAUCACCGGCCAUGAUGACGACGAUUCUUGGAGACAUCUCCACAACUGUACUGUUUGACACAGGACAUGCAGAUUUCUGCUGGUCGGACGAGGAAGAAGAAAGACGUUUAUGGAAGGAACAAACAAGGACUAUAAGUGCAACAACAAUGAGAAGUAACAUUAUUCCUAAACUUCCAAAUAGGUAAGGAAGUGGUGAUCUCCAUCUCCAGAAUGAUGAACCCAUUGAUGCUCUAGUUGUAUUUAUAUCUCUCAUUACUCUCUCUUUAAUUUUGAUUCUCUGUUACUCCAGAAAGAGUAUACAAAGCACUAGGCACUGAUGCAGACGAUGGCAAUUUUUAGCUACUUUUAUAGAGCUUUAAGUGAAACAACAUAGAAGGAGGAGAAAGGACGACAUGAUGUUAUCAUUUUGGCUCGAUGAACAACAACCGGAAAACAAUUGCACAUCGGUGAUCAGUUUGACCAAAAAGUAGGGGAUAAAACUAAGUCAUUGGAUUAGUAUAUGUGUUCAUAUACUAAUCCAAUGACUUCAGAAGUUAACUUACAGGUUUUUUUUUAUGUUAUUAGUGUAUUUUAAGUUGUUAUAGUUGAUAAGAUGUUUUUUUUUAAUUACUAAACCACCCCCUUUUAUACAAUAAUCUAUAAAUAUAUUUUAGAUGAUUUAAUAAUGUAAAAAUUAUUCUACAAUAUCUGUAAGAAAGUUUUAAUGCCUACACAAUAAAAUGAGAAUUUAAUUACAAUCCAUGAUAAGUAUUUUUGUCAUCAUCUACUAAUUAUUUAUUUGUUCGGCCAUCUUUUAGUCUCUUUUGCGUGAACGGUUUGCCGCAUCCCAAAAAAGUUAGUACUAGUAGCACUGUACUAUCUUUCCAGCAAUUAGUACAAUACCCGCACGCAACGUGAACUCUUCUAAUUAAUUGACGUUCUCACUCAAAUCUCAUUCAUUCAUCUUCACAUGGUUCGUACUGCAGAAUUGCCUGUAUCGCUGAGGUUCCACAAAAAGAGAAAAACUCCUAUGAAAAUAAUCAAAUAUACAAUUAACACAGAAAUUGCGACGAUUCCCUUUAAUUAAGGCACAUAAGUUAAAACGGAAGGACUAAUACGUUUUGUUAUAAGAAAUUUGAAAAUUAUAUUCUCGAAUCAACACAGAAAUUAAUUAAUUACUCUAAUUAACCUCAUAUAACUCCGAUUUCAUUCACAUGAAGGAGUAUUGUUUUUACAUAUCCCUUAAAACUAUAGAAGAAAAUUACAAAUGAAAUCCCAGGUUCUAAUAGAAACUAUAUCUAGAGCUAGCAAAACUUUUAGAUAAAGGAGGAAGAGAUAAAAAAAAAAUCAGUCAUAAUCAGAAGGUUUAGCAGAUGAAGUAAUUGGAACUCCGAUUUGAGUGGGUUUUUGAUCGCCA
Lycium barbarum (goji berry) is the source of this 2570-nucleotide long non-coding RNA. RefSeq lists it as uncharacterized. The record is from RefSeq and is a predicted model, not a curated record. Lineage: Eukaryota; Viridiplantae; Streptophyta; Magnoliopsida; Solanales; Solanaceae. The transcript has 2 exons.